This is a long non-coding RNA of Xiphophorus hellerii (green swordtail), 1707 nucleotides long. RefSeq lists it as uncharacterized. The record is from RefSeq and is a predicted model, not a curated record. NCBI's taxonomy places the organism in Eukaryota, Metazoa, Chordata, Actinopteri, Cyprinodontiformes, Poeciliidae. The transcript has 2 exons.
UGCCAUACAUAAAACAUCUUGGGGAGGAAUGUUGCUGUCAUGAAAAUAUAUGUGGGAAGAAAUCUAAAUAGAAGUGUCAUCAAAGUUUGUUUAGCUUAAAAUAAAUCUGAUGAGUUCAAGGAUAUUAAGUAGGGAGAAAACAAUAUGAUUUCCUCACUUUUAAAGGACAAAUUAACAUAUUUCACAUAAUCGGUGAGUUUGAUUUAAAACCUUCCUGGUUGGGUUUAAACUGGUGCAAUGGAGCCAGAUGGAGAUCCAGGAACCGUUACUCAUUACACAAAAUGAAAGAAAAAUAAACCAUAACUCCUGUUUUCACCGAAAUGUCCGUACACAGAAAAUACAUACACGUUAUGUGAGAAAAUAUUCCUAAUACACUUCAUAUGUCCUCAAAUUCAUAUAUGUACAUGAUCUUGUAUGUUAGUCAUGAAUAAAAUAAUAAAAUAAUGCUUUGAACUAUGGAACAAAGGAAAUUAUUACCCUGUAAAUAUUAUUUCAUACAGGAUGUCAGGGUCUGCAUUUUGUUUCCGUUUUAUUUUGGGUUUUUUUUGGUUUGAGUUUUUUUUUUCCUGCCGUUGGAACUGGCAUUCCUCAUGACAUCCACCAGAGGUCGCCAACAGACAGAGCCCCUGGAAGGCUGCUGAGUUCAACCCGUCUACACACCUGCAGCUUGUUUUGGAGGGCGUGGAUUAUGGAUUUAAGCAGCAGCUCCUCUCCGUCUCAUCGCCUGAGUGUUUGCUUACUUCGAUAUCCUGCUGUUCCCUCGCGGUUCUGGCGAAGAGCAGUCCUCCCCGAGUUCAGUGCGCGCCUGUGCUCCCCUCGUUGUGGAUUCCCUACCUCCUGUGUCCUCCCUCGACGCUGUCGGUGCUACCGGUCAGAAGCCACCCCUCGUGUGUCCACCCUUUCCUCUCGUCGAUCCCUCUCUGGUGGAACCCCCCUCAUUCCAAGUAAGACAGACUCUGGAAUAUUCCCGAAGGAUUUUCUCCUCACUGCUCUGACCCUGCUUCUCCCGUUGGUAGCAAGACGACCCGGUCAUCAGCACCAGGAGUCGCGUCCUGACCCCUCCCCUGACUUCAAUAAACUGAUUAUUGUGCACUUUAUCGUUCUCUCUGAUUGUGUUCUUGCAUGUGGGUUCGUAAAGUAAAACUCAACAUGACACAGGAAUGAAACAGAAAACCAUCCUCCUGUUACUCAUACAAAACAAAACCCAGUGCUUUCAUGAACAUAUGAACAUAAUCCAAGUUUUAUCAUUAUAACAAAGGAAUGUUUAUAAAAUGAACAAAUCAUGUUGUUUUUAACAGCUAACAACACAAAACUUGACUGAAUCUUUCUAAAUGCUUUUCUCUGCUUAUGAACAGAAGAACCGUGUUUCUGAGGACCGGGUUCCAUUUCUGUUUCUGUUGCUUGUUUUGAUGAAUGUCUGUGUAGAAUGGUGCCAUCAUGGACACAUUCAGGGUUUCUCUGCUCAUCUGGGUCAAAAUGUCCACAGGGAAAUGAACCAAACCCACUGGGAGACUUCCUGGGCUCAGUUUGAUGUUCUCUCAGCUCAUGUGAGGGUUUUCUCAGGGUACUCCUACAGUGAAACACAAAUGUUUGGCUUUCAUGUUGACAUCAUGUCCAGGAUUUUUCCACUCUAUUUUGACAUCAAAUUCUGUAAAGUCUCCAAUAACUUGACAACAAAUCAAUAAAUUAAUCAAUUAUUGAACAAAC